AACAGGAAUAUGAAAAACAGUCGCUGUAAGUUUGCUACCAAGGUAUCUUUUCUGAAUUAUAAUUAACAAAGGUGGGAUAUGAUCCCGGAAGAAAGGCAUGAGGUUUAAUGAAUGAGGGAACCCAUGUGAUGGGAGAAUACCGUUGGGCACCUGCACCUGUGACUGGGGAAAUGGAGGCAGCUGGGGAUGAAUGCGGAUGGCACAGGGGACCCUGAUUUGAGGAAAGACAAUGAGCUCACCCCUUGCUGCCCUGUGUAGGGGGCACUGUUGGCACCUCCUACAGGACAUGCCCAGCAGAGAGAGAGUGGCUGUGGGAUGAGGAGAUCAACGCAGAGAUUCAGUGUGAGGCCUCUGGGUCCAGACAGUUCUGGAGCACAAAGCAAUGAGCCAUGCAUUGAUGUUGUUAAAAAGGAGCUUAUAACUACUUAAAGCAUCACCCAAGUGUGUUCUGAUAUAAAUGCUGUGACCCUGAGGUCCUGGAGAUUGAGAGAGGAAGUGAUGUCACUUGGGAACUGCCCUGUGGAGACAAGGACGUCCCUCCUCCUCUGCUCCUGCUCACAGUGACACUGAUCUCAUAAGGCCCCCAUCCUGCCUGACCCUGUCAUGGGCACCAGGCUCCUCUGCUGGGUAGUCCUGGGUUUCCUAGGGACAGAUCACACAGGUGUUGGAGUCUCCCAGUCCCCCAGGUACAAAGUCACAGAGAGGGCACAGGAUAUAGCUUUCAGGUGUGAUCCAAUUUCAGGUCAUGAAACGCUGUACUGUAUUGGUACCAACAGAUCCUGGGACAGAGCCCAGAGUUUCUGACUUACUUCAGGUAUGAAGCUCAAUUAGACAAAUCAGGGCUUCCCAGUGAUCGGUUCUCUGCAGAGAGGGCUGGGGGAUCCUUCUCCACUCUGAAGAUCCAGUGCACAGAGCAGGAGGACUCUGCUGUGUAUCUCUGUGCCAACAGCUCAGCCACAGUGUGGCACAGUCGCCUCCUUCCUGCUCACAAACCUUCUCCUCUCCCUCCUGGCAGCUCCUAGAGACCCUUAACAGAGGCCUCUCCUUGCUCCUCACUUUUCAUGGGAAAGAAGCAAAUUUGGACCUCAGCUGUCCUUUGGGUAGAGUGAGACCACAGAUCCAUUCCUGAAACACAGUGACUGCAAAUGUAGGUGGUGAAAACAAUCAUGGCCCAUGUGUUCUAGGAGUCCUCGGAGCCAGCUCACUGCUCCAAGCAAGGUGUGGCUGUCUUCGCCUUGGCCUUCAGGGCAGAAUACAUUUUCUAGAGGUCUUGGUGGCUGCCGUGCUGCCCACGUACAUGAGGUUGUCACGGGCAGGAAACAGACCUCUUC
Molecule: non-coding RNA, 1331 nt
Organism: Sapajus apella (tufted capuchin)
Lineage: Eukaryota; Metazoa; Chordata; Mammalia; Primates; Cebidae
Source: the annotation of a RefSeq genome assembly